RNAcentral lists this ribosomal RNA (497 nucleotides) under uncultured Prevotella sp. RNAcentral describes it as "partial 16S ribosomal RNA". The record is from RNAcentral. Lineage: Bacteria; Pseudomonadati; Bacteroidota; Bacteroidia; Bacteroidales; Prevotellaceae.
CACGGAAUUAGCCGGUCCUUAUUCAUGCGGUACCUGCAAUGAAGGACACGUCCAUCACUUUAUCCCCGCAUAAAAGCAGUUUACAACCCAUAGGGCCGUCAUCCUGCACGCUACUUGGCUGGUUCAGGCUCUCGCCCAUUGACCAAUAUUCCUCACUGCUGCCUCCCGUAGGAGUUUGGACCGUGUCUCAGUUCCAAUGUGGGGGACCUUCCUCUCAGAACCCCUACUGAUCGUAGCCUUGGUGGGCCGUUACCCCGCCAACAAGCUAAUCAGACGCAUCCCCAUCCCUGACCGAUGAAAUCUUUAAUCGUCGUUGGAUGCCCGCAGACGAUGCCAUGAGGUAUUAGGCCGACUUUCGACGGGUUAUCCCUCAGUCAGAGGCAGGUUGGAUACGCGUUACUCACCGUGCGCCGGUCGACGCCCGGGGAAGCAAGCUUCCCCGUCGUUUCCCCUCGACUUGCAUGUGUUAAGCCUGUAGCCAGCGUUCAUCCUGAGCC